GCCCAGUAAGGUUGGGCACCCUUUGGUGCUCAUGCAAUACCCUCCGCAGGGCGUUAAGAGGGUAUCUUCUGCACCCUCCGGAGGGCCCAGGGUGCAGGCAGGACGCGGAGAAAGCCAGGGCGUCAGAAAGCAAUCCUGCUGGCUGCAGGUGCCCUGCUCUUUGAGCUGCGCAAGUCCAGCCCUCCUGUGUGUGAAGCCGGCCGCCCAAGGCUAACCGCAGAGUCCUGCAACCCAACAGCAGGUCUGCUGGGUCCUCUUACCCUGUUCUGCCCUCUCCUCUUCUUCUCUCCCCCUCCUGUCUUCCCCUCCUUUCCCCUCCUCCCAGGCUCUCCCACGGUUCGGGCGGGUAUUCAGCCGCCCUAGCCACUGGGGCUGCCACUCCGCCCCCCGCGCUGCGCGGAGGCGCAGUAAUAACCCCGGCGCGGGCGCUGGAGUGGCGGCUGGAAUCCUGAGCCCAGCCUGAGUGGGAUCCUCGCUGCACGCUUGCACACUGGUAGCUGGCUGCUGCCCGGUUGCGGGACAUCCAGUGAUCCGCCCUCACGGCCGAGCGCCCCUGGAUAAAGGCCUGCGAACUGUACUCAGGAGCGCAACGCCAGCUUGCGCGGGGAGACCGGGCUAUGAGGGUCCCCGGCUGCGCGACGCUCUGGGUGCUGCUGCUGGCGCAGGUCUGCGUG
RNAcentral lists this long non-coding RNA (674 nucleotides) under Marmota monax (woodchuck). Lineage: Eukaryota; Metazoa; Chordata; Mammalia; Rodentia; Sciuridae. The record is from RNAcentral.